AUUCAAUCAGGAAGUCCUUCCUAGCUUCACUCUCGUACAAACACAGUCACUUUGGGCUCCAAAAACAACACAAAAAACUAUUUGGUGAUGGCUGUAACACCAAAUUUAAGGCUACAAACGGUCGUCCACAAACCAACGGGUGUUAAACAAGAAAUUAAUGAAGGAUUAAUUAAUGUGUAAAGAGAGCGAGGUCGACACAGAGAGUCAGAGACGGAGGAAGAACAGUGAAGAGAGAGUGAUGAAACGAGACUGCAACCAUCGGACCGUCCCGGCAGAGACACUGCUGAGCGGCAUGCCAAGUCGACCAUGUCUGUCUCGGCUACCAGAGGAACCAUGUUUGACUCAUCCCGAGAGAAACCAAAAGCCACAAUCAAGGGAGUUAAACAGGAACAGGAGAGGAAGACGAAGAGAGGAACACGGUGACAUCAGGCGGCGGAGAUAAAGAGAUGAGUUCAGCUCAGGACUGAAAAACUGAGGCACGAAUCCGGCCUCGCAUCCUCGUCUUGUUUACCGAAACGUCCACACACGUCUCUCCGGCCCUCACCUCCGUCACAGUGUCAAGGAAAAAUUAAAUGAAUUAUUUACUAGAGAAACUUGUGAGCAAUCCGAGAGCUUUCUUCAUGCUUUCCAGAAUAAAGAAAUCAAAAAACA
Molecule: long non-coding RNA, 651 nt
Organism: Acanthopagrus latus (yellowfin seabream)
Lineage: Eukaryota; Metazoa; Chordata; Actinopteri; Spariformes; Sparidae
Exons: 2
Source: RefSeq, a predicted model, not a curated record